AUGGCCGGCGCCAUGGUGGACCGGGCCACCAGCGACAUGCUCAUCGGCCCCGACUGGGCCAAGAACAUGGAGAUCUGCGACAUCUGCAACCGCGACCCCGGGCAAUCCAAAGAUGUCGUGAAGGCUCUCAGAAAAAGAAUUGCACACAAAAAUCCAAAAGUUCAGCUUCUCGCACUAACUCUGCUGGAAACUGCAAUCAAGAACUGUGGGGAUAUAUUCCACAUGCAUGUUGCAGAGAGGGACCUGUUGCAUGAGAUGGUCAAGCUAGUGAAGAAAAAGUCUGAUCAACGCGUCAAAGACAAGAUUCUGGUUCUAAUAGAUACAUGGCAAGAAGCUUUGGGGGGACCACGUUCAAGAUAUCCACAAUUCUAUGCAGCAUACCAUGAAUUAGUGCGUGCUGGAGCUCAAUUCCCCAAGAGGUCUGAGAGACCUGCACCACUGUUUAAUGGGCAGUCUGAAGCAGUGAAAAGUAUGCGUAGUCCUGAUCAACGGGACGAAGCUGAAUCUUCUGCUGGAAAUGACUUCCCUGCUCUGAGCAUGUCAGAGAUUCAAAAUGCUCGUGGUAUCAUGGAUGUACUAGCUGAGAUGUUGAAUGCUUUAGACCCUGGAAACAGAGAGGGACUAAGACAGGAAGUAAUUGUGGAGCUUGUUGAUCAGUGCCGCACUUACAAGCAGAGAGUGGUCCAGCUAGUUAAUACUGCUUCGGAUGAGGAACUUUUGUCGCAAGGGCUUGCACUAAAUGAUGAUUUGCAGCGUGUUCUAGCAAAACAUGACGCAAUUGCUGCAGGCAUUGCUGUUCGAGUGGAGAAAAGGCCAAAGUCUCUGCAGGCGCUAGUUGAUACUGAGGAUUCUGCGAACCAAGACUCUAAGAAAGAGCAAGCACUAGUAGAUAUUGAUGACCCUACAAGCCAAGAUUCUAAAACAGAGCAAAAUCAAAGCACCAGUGAGCCGUCUCCUUUUGAGCAACUAGCGCUUCCAGCACCUCCGGUAUCGAAUGGCUCAGCAAACGCUGCACCAAAACCUGAUUCUGGCAUUGAUCUUCUUAGCUGGGAUGAUACCCCAUCCACUGCAGAGAAUUCACUGGCUCUUGUACCGGUCACUGAUCCAUUGGCUGACUCUACUUCAAAUCAAAAUGCACUGGCAAUUGUCGACAUGUAUUCUCAAAACAAUACUGCUAAUAGCAAUGCCAAAUCACUUGACCCCUUUGGUUUCGAUUCAAGUCCCACUCCUCUUGGAUCACAGCCAUACAACAAUGCAACCCAGCAUCCUGUACAAUCACAACAGCCUCCUCAGCAGGUGGCGCUCUAUUCUAAUGGAAGUGCUGUAAACCCUGGAACAUCUUACGACCCGGCGUCGCAGUAUAAUCACACGAAUUCCGGGUGGAAUGGUCAAGUUGCCAACCAUGCAGCACCCCCACCACAGCAAGUAAAUUAUGAUGAUCAAAGUGGAGCCCUUCCGCCUCCACCUUGGGAGGCUCCGGCAGCGCCAAGCAAUGAAAUGCCAAAUGGCCAAUUGGGUGGUAUGCAACCUCUCCCACCUCCAGCAAGCCAAUUCGGUGGUGUGCAGCCACUACAACCGCAGAACAACCACAUGGCAGGUCUACAACCGCAGCCAAUGUAUAACAACCAACCAGGAGCUAUGGUACCUCACGCAAUGCAGUCCAACCAAACUGUUGGAGGGCAGAUGCAGCCAGGUUAUGGAAACCAGUAUGGACAUUUGGCACCACAACCCAUGCCAAUGCCAGGCAUGCAGUUCGCUGGUAUGCAACCGUCGCCGAUGCCAGGAGCGCAGCCAGGCAUGAUGUAUGCGCAACCAAUGCCGGGGGCGCAGUUUGGAGGAAUGCCACAACAGCAGAUGUACGGCGGUGGUGGUCGGAUGGCGACGCAGUACGGUUAUGUGCAGCAGCAAGCAGCACAGUACUACAACCAGGGAAGGCCAGCAAUGUAUGGGUACCCUGGUACCAACGGCCUCUCUCAGAGUAUGUAUGGUCUCUCCAUGCAAGACAGCUCCUACAUGGGGGGGAUGAACUCGACCUAUCAGGCAGCACCCUCUUCAUCCUCAAUGGCGCAACCCAUGAGGCCGUCGAAACCCGAGGACAAGCUCUUCGGCGACCUUCUCAGCAUCGCCAAGACGAAGCAGAACAGAGCUUCGUGA
Molecule: ribosomal RNA, 2154 nt
Filed under: Triticum aestivum (bread wheat)
Lineage: Eukaryota; Viridiplantae; Streptophyta; Magnoliopsida; Poales; Poaceae
Description: partial small subunit ribosomal RNA
Source: RNAcentral